Gadus macrocephalus (Pacific cod) is the source of this 373-nucleotide long non-coding RNA. RefSeq lists it as uncharacterized. Lineage: Eukaryota; Metazoa; Chordata; Actinopteri; Gadiformes; Gadidae. The transcript is spliced from 3 exons. The record is from RefSeq and is a predicted model, not a curated record.
GCCCUCAAAGAAUGAAACUCAAAACGCAGAUGAGGUAAAAGAAGAAACUUCUAAAUUAAAGUGGAGCGACCCAGGGACAAGUCUGGUUUGGGUUAAAGAUUAUGGAUGGUUAACUUUGUGUAACGUGUUUGGACAAGCAAGUUUAGGUUUUAGGCAAGCGACUUCAGGUAUUAGGCAAGCGAGUUUAGCCAAGCGAGUACAGGCAAGCGAGUCAAGCUAAGCGAGUUUAGGUUUUAUGCAAGCGAGUUUAGGUAAGAGAGUCAAGUUACUUUAGGCCUCACUUUAUUUGCGGUUAAAUUGCGGCAUUAGGUUUAGAAAGAAGGUUAAGAUCCAGGCUCAGGUUUGCUUCCAGCCUCGUCCCUCUAGUCGCUCC